RNA transcript from Nasonia vitripennis (jewel wasp), 1803 nucleotides. It is a transcript of the gene named inosine-uridine preferring nucleoside hydrolase, with no coding region annotated. The record is from RefSeq and is a predicted model, not a curated record. Lineage: Eukaryota; Metazoa; Arthropoda; Insecta; Hymenoptera; Pteromalidae. The transcript has 6 exons.
UUUGUAUAACUCGCCUUAUGCAACAUCGCACCGUGCGGUGCUUGGUUAGAAUAAGACUGCGGUCAAGUGUGAGCUGGUAUCACAAAUUGAAUUUGACGCGUCGCGCUUGCGUGUUCAUAAUCGAUAUAUUGAGCACGUUUUUUAUACUUUUUUAUCCAGUUCAACUUUGUAUACGAGAAUAAAAAAAGUUUGAAAAAUGUUUUGGAAGGUUCUGGUAGUUUUUCUUGGCGUCCUUACAGUUCAUCUUUGUCAAGAAACGAGUACUAGAGCAGCACGUCCGAUGAAGUUGAUAAUAGACACCGACGCGGGCGGAGACGAUGCCGUCGCUAUACUCCUGGCGUUGGCCUCCAAGGAGGUGCAAGUCAUCGCUAUCACAUGCGUUUACGGGAACACAGACGAGGCGAACGUCGAGACUAACGUACUCAAGAUUCUGACUGUGGCUGGUCGAUCCGAUAUUCCUGUAUAUGGUGGAGCGAAGAAACCUUUGUUGCAGAAUUACACAGCAGGCGAUUACUUUGGCAAAGAUGGACUUGGCGAUUUCGAGUUUGGCAGAGAUAUCGUCGGCAGAGUUGACAGUUCUAAACACGCUGCAUUGGCAAUGGUUGAACUGGUUAGGCAAUAUUCAGGUAACAUAAGCAUCUUAACUCUUGGUCCACUGACAAACGUGGCUCUGGCAGCGUCACUCGAUCCCAGUUUCACUCACAGCGUCAACCGAAUUUACGUUAUGGGUUCAGCCGUCCAAGAUCCGAAACCUGGAAUCGAAAGCGAAAAUCGAGAAAUAGAAUUCAAUUUCAGCUUGGACUCGGAAAGUAAUGCAAUCGUUCUUAAUUCAUCCACGAAGGUCAAGAGUUUUAUAGCCCCGUGGGAUGUCGUUGUCAAAAAUAGUAUCAGUAAGGAGUGGCGAAUGAACGUUCUGGGGAGCUUGAGCUCCGAGGCCAUGAUCUUCUUGAACAAGGUGGAGCACAUGAUUUUAAAAAGACUGACGGAGUGGCUACCGGCCGAUUCGAUUGCCGUUGCGACCAUGAUUUGGCCGGACCUCAUAACGAGCUCGAUAGAAGCGCGAAUGUCCUCGGUGACCUAUGGCCCGCUCAAGGGCUCCGUUUUGGUAGAAACCGAGGGUGUAAGGAAUGAGGAUAAAAACGUGGAGAUCGUCAGAGAUUUUAACGUGGCAGCCUUCAAGGAUAAGCUUCUAGAAAACUUGGCAUGAGCGAUGACAACGGUAUUUUGCAUAAAUGCAAAUAACGCUUGUUGCACGUGAAAUAAAUUGGCCACGAGAAGUGUACGUGUGAGCUGGCCUCACGCCAAGAUUCAAGUAAAUUAUAUAUUUUUACUGAAUAUUAAUCAUCAGAAACUUUCACGUUUGAAAAACAUUUGCAGUAAAAGAAGAAUCUCCCCAUGCCAGUCACAGUAAAAAGCCAACAAUGCACUCGUCAACCGUAAACCUAAUCUUAUCACUCGCACGAGAUAAUUCGUCACAAGUUAGCCUCCUCGCGUUACGAUACACCAAAACCGCGCCUAAUCAAUCUACACACGGACGCAUAAUGUACAUCAGCUAUACUUGUAUCAACGAAUAUAGACUUCCUAUAGAAGAACGGUUCUGUGUUAAGAUGGGGGGACGAAAGCUUGGGUAACAGGCCGUUAGUUCUGUUACCCAACCGCUCAGCGGCGCCACCUAUGAGUUUCCUUCAGCUUGUCGCGCAUAUGAGCACGCACCAGCAGACGAUUCAUCAUUCACGCAGUAUAUUAUGUAAAAUAUACUUUUUAACAAUAAUGAAAAUAAAUAAAUGAUAAGAAAAUGAUUAA